Thalassophryne amazonica is the source of this 101-nucleotide long non-coding RNA. RefSeq lists it as uncharacterized. Lineage: Eukaryota; Metazoa; Chordata; Actinopteri; Batrachoidiformes; Batrachoididae. The record is from RefSeq and is a predicted model, not a curated record. The transcript has 3 exons.
GAAACAUCUUUAGCAAGUUGUGAUAAGACACAUACAGUCUGUUCAUGGAGGCUCUUUUGUAGUUCCACCAUAACUGCGCUGUCUGUGCAUAAGGGAGAAUA